Molecule: long non-coding RNA, 269 nt
Organism: Boleophthalmus pectinirostris (great blue-spotted mudskipper)
Lineage: Eukaryota; Metazoa; Chordata; Actinopteri; Gobiiformes; Gobiidae
Exons: 2
Source: RefSeq, a predicted model, not a curated record
GAGCCUCCAUAUAGACUGUACACACCUGUCCGUGUGUGGAGAGGAGAUCGCAACGCGAAAUUCGAAGGUCAGGUUUUUUCUAUGGACUGAUUGAACUCCAGCUUUGCAGAAACUCUCAACUCCACUAGGAAAUGAACGAUGGCGAGUUUACCCAAAAACCUGAACUUAAAUUAACCUGAAUCAAAUAACUGGACUGUGUUUUUUUUGUUUUGUUUUGUUAUUCCUGUGCCCUGUGAAAAUUUAUUUUCAAUAUACUUCACCCAACUUCA